GACUUAUUUACAAUGGCUGUCACU
RNAcentral lists this non-coding RNA (24 nucleotides) under Arabidopsis thaliana (thale cress). Lineage: Eukaryota; Viridiplantae; Streptophyta; Magnoliopsida; Brassicales; Brassicaceae. The record is from RNAcentral.